UUGGUUCUAGUCCUCUAGAAAGCCUUUCCAAAGCAAUGACCAUCCCAUCCACAUGGUUGGGGAGAAAAUCCCUAAUGAGUGGAUAGUAUGGAGUGACAGACUCCACUUCUUACCACAAUUCAUGAUGACAUAUUUUUUAAAAAAACUGUAAGUUUGGAGUUUUAAGCAACAUCCAAGCUUCCUGCUUCCCCCUUGAUGUUGGUGGAUAAGAAGGAUGAACGUUUGCCCAGCACGCCAGGGUAGCACCGAGACCUCCGUUCUUCUCUUUGUCAUAUAUGACUUUGUACAUUCAGAUUACCCACACUCUUACGGUGUUUGUGGACAACUUGUUACUUCCUUAACUAUGCCAUGUCACUGUUCUCUGUUUGAGUUACAGAAUGAGCAUGGGCUGAGUGACUUUUCCUGUGAAGAUGUAAACCAAUGUUUGUUUACUCCAGGAAGGAAAAUUUAAAGUUGGAGGGACACUUCUCUGGAGAGCCCUGGAAUGUUGGGAGGAGAUUCAUCUAGAGUUCUGGAAUAUUGCCUUGCCAAAUCCCCAAGCUGACCGUGCCUUUUAUGUUUGGAUUGGCUGACACCCACAGUGCUGCUUGGACUUCUGCUUCAGUUUUCAGCAUCCUGAACUUGGAACACAAAAACAUGUCCGUGGCUUGGCUGGGCUUGGCUUUUAGAGUCAUACCACUUUGUACAAAGUUCCAUGAAUUGUCUACCAUGGCUUAACCAACGUAGGCUUCUGCUGUGUCACCAGCAGCAUCUACCGUGAGUGCCCUAUGAAAGGACGUGUUUAUGGGGCUGCGGAGGUAGCUCUGUUGCUAAAGUGCUCGGUGAACAAGCAUGAGCCCCUGAGCUUGAUCCCGGACGCCCAGAUGAAAGGUUGAGUAUGGUGGUGCAUGUGUAUAAUAUCAGUGCUCAGAAGGCAGAGACAGAAGAUCCCUGGGGCUUGCCUAGUCAAUCCAUCCAGCAUCAGGUCCCAUUGAAAAAAACAGGUCUCAAAAACAAGGAGGAUGGUUCCUUAAGAGUAAUCUAAUGUUGACCUCUGGCUCUCAUGCACACACAUACAUGUGCAUGGUAUACACAUAUGUACCCCCAUAUACAUGUACACACACACACACACUCACACACGGGACUUCCUUAAACUUUUAUCUAAAACUGGUUUCUGAGGCUCCCCCACAUUCAUCUUUUUAUCAUUUUAAAUAUAUUUUUACUACUUAGAAAACCAUUUAAACUUAAAUAUACUUUUGAUGAUACUCUUUUCCUCCCCCAAGUCCUUCCAGAUGCUCUUCUAUUCCUUACCCAUCCAACUUUAAGCUCUUUCUCAAAAAAUAAACAAGAAGUUAAUACAAAAACAAAAACCCCUCAAACCCCAAACUAAGAAUACAAAAUACCUCUUCUGCCUCCCAAAACAACCCACCACACUAUAACCAAACAAAGGCAGGAGCAAGUGCAUGAAUGUGUGUGUGUGUGUGUGUGUGUGUGUGUGUGUGUGCGCGCGCGCGUGUACACACUUAAACACACAUCUGUGGAGUUCAUUAUAUGAUGGUCAACUACUUCUGAACAUGAGGCCUGUCCUAGAGUGGUUUCUAUGCUCAGUGUCACUCUGUUGGAGAAAACUAAUUUUUGCUUUCCCAGCUGAUAUCAUUGACAGUUCAGUUGCUAACCUUUACCCUAGUGGCUAGAUUUUACUUCAUUCACUCAUUUAUUCAAAACAAAAAAUGAUCACAUCAGAGUUGGGCAAAUCAAAGUAACAGAAGGAAAAGAGCCUAAAAGAAGGCACAAGAAACAGAGAUCCACUUGUUUACACACUCAGGAAUGCCAUAGAAACUGGAAGCCAUACCCUAUCUAUCUAUCUAUCUAUCUAUCUAUCUAUCUAUCUAUCUAUCUAUCUA
Long non-coding RNA from Mus musculus (house mouse), 1883 nucleotides. RefSeq annotates it as predicted gene, 45992. The record is from RefSeq and is a predicted model, not a curated record. The transcript has 3 exons. NCBI's taxonomy places the organism in Eukaryota, Metazoa, Chordata, Mammalia, Rodentia, Muridae.